CUCGCGACGGCGCCGAGUUCCUUCUCCAAGCGAUUUCUGCUCGGGCGAAAGAGGCGGCGGAGCUAAGUUUCCUUUCUCCGGCGCCGGCCAAGGGGUGUUCCCGCGAGAUCCUCACACGUUCGUGGCCAUCUCGUCGAGGGGACCACGCGGACGCGAGGAAACGCCGGAUUUGGAGCUCACCCGAAACCCUAGCACCUCUCUUUCUCGGUUGUAAGUCCAAGAAUCGUCGAUAAAGGAAAGGAAAAGAUUUAGCAAGGAAGGCGACAAGGUGGUGGUGAUGAA
Long non-coding RNA from Zingiber officinale, 282 nucleotides. RefSeq lists it as uncharacterized. The record is from RefSeq and is a predicted model, not a curated record. The transcript is spliced from 2 exons. Lineage: Eukaryota; Viridiplantae; Streptophyta; Magnoliopsida; Zingiberales; Zingiberaceae.